AGGGAGACCAGUUAAUAGCCAUAUUCUGGACUGUUAGCCACAGAAGAAGCACCGGCUAACUCCGUGCCAGCAGCCGCGGUAAUACGGAGGGUGCGAGCGCAUAAUCGGAAUUACUGGGCGUAAAGCGCAUGCAGGAACCGAUGAUUAAGUCAGAUGUGAAAGCCCGGGGCUCAACCUCGGAGUUGCAUUUGAAACUGGCCCCAUCAGAGUACUGUAGAG
RNAcentral lists this ribosomal RNA (219 nucleotides) under uncultured bacterium. RNAcentral describes it as "partial 16S ribosomal RNA". It matches the Rfam family "Bacterial small subunit ribosomal RNA", at positions 444 to 656 of the family's 1533-position model. The record is from RNAcentral.